Molecule: ribosomal RNA, 810 nt
Filed under: uncultured bacterium
Lineage: Bacteria
Description: bacterial SSU rRNA
Rfam family: Bacterial small subunit ribosomal RNA
Source: RNAcentral
AGAGUUUGAUCCUGGCUCAGAACGAACGCUGGCGGCGUGCCUAACACAUGCAAGUCGAACGUGAUUGGGGAGCUUGCUCCUCAUGAAAGUGGCGCACGGGUGAGUAACGCGUAGAUAAUCUACCUGGUGAUUUGGGAUAACACUUCGAAAGGGGUGCUAAUACCGAAUAAGCCCACAGAGUCCUUGGACUCAGCGGGAAAAGGGGGGGACCUUCGGGCCUUCCGUCAUCAGAUGAGUCUGCGUACCAUUAGCUAGUUGGUAGGGUAAAGGCCUACCAAGGCGACGAUGGUUAGCUGGUCUGAGAGGAUGAUCAGCCACACUGGAACUGAGACACGGUCCAGACUCCUACGGGAGGCAGCAGUGGGGAAUUUUGGACAAUGGGGGCAACCCUGAUCCAGCCAUGCCGCGUGAGUGAAGAAGGCCUUCGGGUUGUAAAGCUCUUUCGGCCGGGAAGAAAUCGCAUGGGUUAAUACCCUGUGCGGAUGACGGUACCGGCAUAAGAAGCACCGGCUAACUACGUGCCAGCAGCCGCGGUAAUACGUAGGGUGCGAGCGUUAAUCGGAAUUACUGGGCGUAAAGCGUGCGCAGGCGGUUUUUUAAGACAGGCGUGAAAUCCCCGGGCUCAACCUGGGAACUGCGCUUGUGACUGGAAGGCUAGAGUACGGCAGAGGGGGGUGGAAUUCCACGUGUAGCAGUGAAAUGCGUAGAGAUGUGGAGGAACACCAAUGGCGAAGGCAGCCCCCUGGGUCGAUACUGACGCUCAUGCACGAAAGCGUGGGUAGCAAACAGGAUUAGAUACCCUGGUAGUCC